Long non-coding RNA from Oreochromis aureus, 524 nucleotides. RefSeq lists it as uncharacterized. NCBI's taxonomy places the organism in Eukaryota, Metazoa, Chordata, Actinopteri, Cichliformes, Cichlidae. The transcript is spliced from 2 exons. The record is from RefSeq and is a predicted model, not a curated record.
GGAUUCAGGAGACAGACACUAUCUCUACUUUUAAGAUUAGGCUUAAAACUUUCCUUUUUGCUGUAGUACUGUCAUGGUUCUCAAAAUCUGGAGAGGUCGUGGUGUGUGUUUUUGUCUUCGCCUCUCCCACCAGGGCAGAACUGGACCUUGAUUCCCCGCCUCUGAACCCGCCCUGAACACACACCUGUGGCUCAUUCACACUGAUGCUGGCAGACUACUUAAGAUGGCAAGAGAGGUUGCUUCCUCGCUGAAUUGUCACACUACCUAGCGCCUUCUAGAUUCCCUGCCCAUCUUACAUGCCGUCUUGGUUCCUGUGGAUGUGUGUGAGUGAGCAUGAGCAUUUUGGAGUGGACUAUCUGAGUGAGUUGUGGAUUGAGUUGAAGAGGAGCGUGUGUGCCCCUGCCUUGGACCUUCCCUCCCCUUCGGACCCCCCUCCACUCCCUGGAGCCCCGUGUUAUCUAUCUCACUGUAUAUAUCCUCACUUGGUGCCACAUUGUAAAUAAACCCUCACCUUCUCUCUAAAA